Molecule: small nuclear RNA, 104 nt
Organism: Diprion similis
Lineage: Eukaryota; Metazoa; Arthropoda; Insecta; Hymenoptera; Diprionidae
Source: RefSeq, a predicted model, not a curated record
GUGUAGUAUGAAAGGAGAGACGUUUAGCACUCCCCUAGACAAGGAUGGAACACAUAUAAAUGGUAAGGCACUUGCCACUAAGGUGGCUCUUACCACAUUUUUUU